RNAcentral lists this long non-coding RNA (410 nucleotides) under Lonchura striata (white-rumped munia). Its description in RNAcentral is "domestica (Bengalese finch) lncRNA (ENSLSDG00000002736.1)". Lineage: Eukaryota; Metazoa; Chordata; Aves; Passeriformes; Estrildidae. The record is from RNAcentral.
AGCCUCAAGAGCUGAUCUGGUUCAUCCUUGGUGGGUUUAGCUCAGCUUUGGUUGAUCCCUGUUUGAGUCCAUCCCAGUUUUGUUGGGUUUAUCCCAGGUUUUGGUUAAUCCCAGGUUUUGGUUUAUCCCAGGUUUUGGUUAAUCCAAAUUUUGUUUGGUUUAUUCUUGGUUUUGGUUUAUCCCUGGUUUUGGUUAAUCCCAGGUUUUGGUUAAUCCCAGGUUUUGCUUUAUCCCUGGUUUUGGUUAAUCCCAUUUUUUUUGAUUUCUCCCUGUUUUUGGUCCAUCCCUGGCUCUCCUGGGUUUAACCCUUUAGGGUUUCUCCCUGGUUUUGGCCCAUCCCAGUUUUGUUGGAUUUUUGCCUCCUUGGCUCCGUCCCGCCGGAUUUUUCCCGGUUUCCGCGCGCCGGCCCC